Pogona vitticeps (central bearded dragon) is the source of this 3474-nucleotide RNA transcript. It is a transcript of the gene named protein kinase AMP-activated non-catalytic subunit gamma 3, with no coding region annotated. The record is from RefSeq and is a predicted model, not a curated record. Lineage: Eukaryota; Metazoa; Chordata; Lepidosauria; Squamata; Agamidae.
CUCCCUGGCCCGGCUCUCCUCUCCCUCCCAGCGGUGCGCGCGCGUGUCGGUGCCAGGCCCGCCGCCCCAGCCUGACACUCAAGCUCCUCGGACGGCCAGUCGCCCUAAAUAGAAGCUGGCCCGGGCUCGGCAUGGAGGGAGCGGAGAAGGCGGUGGCGGCGGCACCACCACCACCGGCCUUGCAGCAGCAGGCUCCACCACUGAGCAAUUGUCUUCAGCCUCAGGAAGCAGGCCCACUCCCGUCUCUGAAUGUUAAGGAAUCUCCUCCGGAAGCCAAGGUUGUCGUGCUGGAGGCCAAGGACCUGGUUGCAAAGGGCAAAAAGGGAGAAGUGAACGUGAUCUCAGAUGGCCGAACCAGGAAUUGUGAUCCUGAGGCUAUUGUGCUGGAUGCCAAGGCUGUAUGUCAGGAGGGCAAAGUGACAGCUGCCGAUGCCAGCGCUAUGGAACUGGACGUUAAAACUGCAAAAUCAGAGGCCAAAGAGUUGGACGGAGCCGAAGCUAAUGGGAUGUCACGGGCCUUGGCUACAGAUUGCAAGCAAGCAAGGUCAGAGGAUGAUGCUAUAAUGCCAGAAACUGGGCAUGAGGACAGGAAUGCUCAAGCGACCACACCAAAUGCUAGAGAUCACCAUGGCUGGGUUCUGGAGGCCAAACCAACUGCAGCGCCAGAGGCUACUAACCUCAAAGAGGGCAGCAAGGAAGGCGAUGGAGACAUUAUUUCUCUCGAUUAUGAAAUUCUUGGGUUUGGUCCUGAUAUUGAUUUCCUGGGCCCUGAUGCUGAGCUCUAUAUGCAGUUCAUGCGGAGCCACCGUUGUUAUGAUGCCAUUCCCACCAGCUCCAAACUUGUAGUAUUUGAAACCACUUUACAGAUUAAGAAAGCUUUCUUUGCCAUGGUGGCCAAUGGUGUGCGAGCUGCACCUCUCUGGGACAGUAAGCAGCAGUGCUUUGUGGGUAUGCUGACCAUUACCGACUUCAUUAACAUCCUACAUCGCUACUACCGAUCCCCUCUGGUUCAGAUAUAUGAGAUUGAGGAACACAAAAUUGAAACAUGGAGAGAGGUAUACUUGCAAAGUUCCUUCAAACCCCUGGUGUACAUCUCCCCGAAUGAUAGUCUCUUUGAUGCCGUGUAUUCCUUGAUUAAGAACAAGAUCCAUAGAUUGCCUGUAAUUGAGCCCAUCUCAGGAAAUGUCCUGCAUAUCCUGACACACAAACGCAUCCUCAAGUUUCUGCAUAUCUUUGGAGCCAUGCUUCCAAAGCCACGCUUCCUACAGAGAACCAUCCAGGAGCUGGGGAUUGGCACCUUCCGGGACGUUGCAAUGGUACUGGAGUCAGCUCCUGUCUACACAGCCUUGGAGGUAUUUGUGGAUCGCAGAGUCUCAGCACUGCCUGUCAUUAAUGAGAAAGGGAGUGUAGUUGGUCUCUACUCCCGCUUUGAUGUGAUUCACUUGGCUGCCCAGAAGUCGUACAACAACCUGGACAUUAGUGUGGGAGAAGCACUGAAACAGCGUUCGAUUUGCUUAGAGGGGGUGCUCACAUGCCACCCGCAUGAAACACUGGAAAAGAUUAUUGAUCGCAUUGCCAAAGAGCAGGUCCAUCGCCUGGUUCUGGUGGAUGAGAAGAAUGCCCCGCGGGGGAUCGUGUCCCUCUCUGACAUCCUCCAAGCCCUGGUGCUCACGCCUGCAGGUAUCGAUGCCCUAAACUCUUAAGCUGCUCGACGCUCCAUCUUUCCUCCAUUUGUACCCUCCAUUUCCUCCGCUUCUCUCCAGCUCAGGCAUUGACCGCCAUUCACUCUGAUGAUGUGAAAGAUCACACUACCUUGCACUUUGGAUUACUGCGCCUAUGACACAUGGGGAAUAGGAUGGCAAGCCCCAAGCCAUGAAGAGAUUGCUUUUUCUCCUAACACACAACAUUGGUGCUCUGAACAUUGUUUUUUUUCCUGACCUCUGGGAUGUAGAAAGGUGAACUAGGAAAGCCCAAGGAGAUGUGGUCAUGGGGAAAAGAACCUGAUCUUCAACACUGUCAAUAGAGGUUUGCCUUCUUAAACCUGCUACAGUGGUCUGCAAGCAGGCUUGGUCAGUAGAUGGAGAGACUACUGGUCCUGACUGAAGACUGAGUUGAUACAGGCCUCCUUCACUACUGGGGCUGAAUGAAGAUGAUAUCAGCCAGUGUGUGCAAGAGUCCAGCUUCCUCCUCAGAUCAGCCAGUGCUAUUCAUUCAAGCAAUAGUUGCUGCUUCAGGUUCAAGGGUGACUGAGAAGACCAUUUAUUUACCUGCCCAAGCGGAAGCCAGAAGCAUGUGCACUAUCAAAAAGUAGCCUCCCUGUGUGAAGACUAAGAAAAGAUUUCCCCCCUGGCCCAUGCUACUUUGGAGAAAAUGCACUCUCUCCCUUAAAUACUGCUUCUAGCACAAGACUGAGCAUUUAUCAAGCAGGUGGAUUGUGUUUUUUAUAGGUAAAUGUAUAUAUAUAUUUCAUUUUACAUGAGCCAGUAAUAAGGUUGAGAGAUAAAACACAUUUCCAUGAGAGAGGUGGGGGCUUUCCCUUUAUAAACACAAGCUCUUACAAAACAGAUUUCUCUCUGUUCUGAGAUAAAUCUAUGAUCCAAGAGCAGAUAACGUGUUACCCCUCCAGAUUUAUUGUUGUGCAGCUCCCAUCAUCUCUCAUCUGUGGCUGUGUUGGCAAGGAGUUUGGGGAUCUGCUGUUCAUCGGCACUUUGAGGGCUGCAGGUUCCCUAUAGUGGCCUUACAGAAUAAACAAGACAUCACUCUUGUGCUUCUGCACCAGUGAGCAACAAAAGAUGGGCUCAACCAGCCGAGGGCAAUCUGCAGCUCUUCCGAUGGUGGGACCUCUAUGCCAGGCGUUGGGGGCAAUUGGAGUUGUAGUCCCACCAACAUCAGGAGGGUAAUAGGUUCCCUACUCUUGUCUUAGAAGGUAGGGAGCUUGUUUGUCACAGACUAAGCCAGGGAAGGACUUGCGUCAGAAAAAGGGCACUGGUGGUCUCUCUUUGUUCUCCUAUAUUUGUUGAAUUAAACUUUCAUAUCAAGUCACAAACAAUGGUACAUUGUUAUAGUCUGAGUAUGCUUAUCUUUACCAGCAUGAGGCUUGGGAAUACCUCAGGGAAGAGGAAGGCUGCUAGAGUGAUUUAGCGUGCCUUCAUUUCUUUCAGUGCUUCGCUCAUCUCCCUUACUACGGUGUAACACACAGCAGAUGAUCUUUAACUACCUUAAGGCUUGAAUACCCUAGUACAGCAUAUAGAUGCCACUGCAACAGCAUUUAUACAAAGAGAAGCACCUUUCCAGGAAGGAGACCAGAAAGGUUCUGCAUUAGAGUACAGAGGGGAACAUACCAGUAGCCAAAGGAGGGGUUGUUUACUGGAAGUAGAGAGAAAGAUAUUUAGGACAACAUCAAUUCACAACAGCAACAUACUCGCGUUGCUGAAUUAUAGGACUCUUUUGUUUAACAAAGAAAAGAAAAGAAAA